This 484-nucleotide ribosomal RNA is filed under the name uncultured bacterium. Its description in RNAcentral is "partial 16S ribosomal RNA". It matches the Rfam family "Bacterial small subunit ribosomal RNA", at positions 30 to 507 of the family's 1533-position model. The record is from RNAcentral.
AUUGAACGCUGGCGGCAGGCCUAACACAUGCAAGUCGAGCGGAUGAAGGGGGCUUGCUCCUGGAUUCAGCGGCGGACGGGUGAGUAAUGCCUAGGAAUCUGCCUGGUAGUGGGGGAUAACGUUCGGAAACGGGCGCUAAUACCGCAUACGUCCUGAGGGAGAAAGUGGGGGAUCUUCGGACCUCACGCUAUCAGAUGAGCCUAGGUCGGAUUAGCUAGUUGGUGGGGUAAAGGCCUACCAAGGCGACGAUCCGUAACUGGUCUGAGAGGAUGAUCAGUCACACUGGAACUGAGACACGGUCCAGACUCCUACGGGAGGCAGCAGUGGGGAAUAUUGGACAAUGGGCGAAAGCCUGAUCCAGCCAUGCCGCGUGUGUGAAGAAGGUCUUCGGAUUGUAAAGCACCUUAAGUUGGGAGGAAGGGCAGUAAGUUAAUACCUUGCUGUUUUGACGUUACCAACAGAAUAAGCACCGGCUAACUUCGUG